GCGAUUAGAUAAGGGGAAAGAGAGCAUCGGGUCAGGACCCACGGAGUCUGACUGAAGAGAGGACUGCAAGGGGGCAAGCCGAGAUUUGCUCAGGGAUGAGAGGGGCUCCGGAGUAGCAUUUAUACAACCAUUAUUCCACAAGCUAUAGGGGUUGCCACUUACUUCUCCGUGGAAGAAACUGUACCAACAAAUGAAAGCCACGUGGGGAUGUGUUAGGGGCAGUACUGGCUCUGACUCCAGAAAUCUUGUCAGAAACCAGUGGACAAAUAUAUAGAAUAUGAUCCUGUUAUCAUCUUAAUUAAUGCU
Molecule: non-coding RNA, 306 nt
Organism: Pogona vitticeps (central bearded dragon)
Lineage: Eukaryota; Metazoa; Chordata; Lepidosauria; Squamata; Agamidae
Source: RefSeq, a predicted model, not a curated record